Sorghum bicolor (sorghum) is the source of this 797-nucleotide RNA transcript. RefSeq lists it as uncharacterized. The record is from RefSeq and is a predicted model, not a curated record. The transcript has 3 exons. Lineage: Eukaryota; Viridiplantae; Streptophyta; Magnoliopsida; Poales; Poaceae.
CACGCCGUUACCAACCUCGUCUUCCAUCGGAAGCCACCGAGAUGCGGCCAUAGGUUGUCGUGCCAGAGCCCAGAGGCCGUCGGUAUGUGGGCUCGGGUGUGGCAGAGCUUGAACGGAGGCUAUCGGUGCGCGGGCUCGGGCGUGGCGGAGCUCCAGCGGAGGCAGGGUCUCCGUGCCAGCACCCACGGGCAGAUAGGAGGAGGCGGCGCUCUGCCUGAUCUGCCUGGACCCCCAUGGAGCCCGGCGCACCAGUGUCCGGGAAGGAGAUGGCGGAGGAGCUACUCAAGAUGGUCACUGAAAGUGCGAUAGCUAAAUCAUGGCUGGCGACUUGAUGUGGUUUUUCAUUUGAUCUUGUACAGGUGGUAUAAAAAAAUCUUUUCAACAUUCGUGUGGAAAAAAGAGAGAGAAUUCAGCUGUAGCAUGUUUGAUUGUAGUUUUGUGCAGUUCAGUUAUAAAUGGAGAAUUUGUUCAAGAAAACUGGCAAGAUGCUAGAGAAUAUUCAGAACUUCAGAUGGUACCUACCAUCCGUUCCUGUUGCCAUUGGAGGAUGUUCAGUUUCAUGCAGGUUCCUGUUGAAGCUACUAAAGCCAGCAAUUUACUAAAGUAUGGACAUAUGUACAAGACUUCUGUUGAUGGAUAUCUCACAGAGGUUGCAAAGGACCCCAGUAGAUCAGUGUACAAUGGUUUUGUUCUGAAAUUGCUUUGUAAGAGUUGCCGUCCAAAUGGCACAAGAUGUAUGCACAUUGUAAAUUUUUAUCUGAAAUACAUAUGGCAUCUUGGCAGAGUUAAAUCCUGUA